AUUCAACAGAUACUGAGUGUCUGCCCAGAGGGCUUAUGUGCUCAAUGCUAGGGAUCAGCACUGAACAUGGAGUGGUUGGAGUCUCAAUUCCAAUACCUUAUACAAAGAGCUGUUUACUGCCUAUGAACCUAUCAUAAGCUGUAUUUUUCUCCGGUAAGUAUUGUGUUUAUUUGCUUCUAUUUCCAGGCCAACACAUAUGAAAAGUACUGGCCAUUUUACCAGAAGCAUGGAGGGCAUUAUUUUCCCAAAGAUCAUUUGAAAAAGGCUGUUGCUGAAAUUGAAGAAAUGUGCAAUAUUUUAAAAACGGAAGGAGUGACAGUAAGGAGGCCUGACCCCAUUGACUGGUCAUUGAAGUAUAAAACUCCUGAUUUUGAGUCUACGGGUUUAUACAGUGCAAUGCCUCGAGACAUCCUGAUAGUUGUGGGCAAUGAGAUUAUCGAGGCUCCCAUGGCAUGGCGUUCACGCUUCUUUGAGUACCGAGCGUACAGGUCAAUUAUCAAAGACUACUUCCACCGUGGCGCCAAGUGGACAACAGCUCCUAAGCCCACAAUGGCUGAUGAGCUUUAUAACCAGGAUUAUCCCAUCCACUCUGUAGAAGACAGACACAAAUUGGCUGCUCAGGGAAAAUUUGUGACAACUGAGUUUGAGCCAUGCUUUGAUGCUGCUGACUUCAUUCGAGCUGGAAGAGAUAUUUUUGCACAGAGAAGCCAGGUUACAAACUACCUAGGCAUUGAAUGGAUGCGUAGGCAUCUUGCUCCAGACUACAGAGUACAUAUCAUCUCCUUUAAAGAUCCCAAUCCCAUGCAUAUUGAUGCUACCUUCAACAUCAUUGGACCUGGUAUUGUGCUUUCCAACCCUGACCGACCAUGUCACCAGAUUGAUCUUUUCAAGAAAGCAGGAUGGACUAUCAUUA
Molecule: small RNA, 913 nt
Filed under: Pan troglodytes (chimpanzee)
Lineage: Eukaryota; Metazoa; Chordata; Mammalia; Primates; Hominidae
Description: retained intron
Source: RNAcentral